AAUCAAUAGCCAAUUAAUUGUUGGCCGGUAUGAAUGGCGUCACGAAGGCCCCACUGUCUUAAGAGGACUCUCCAUGAAAUUGAAUUCGUAGUGAAGAUGCUACGUCCAUAUUGUAAGACGAAAAGACCCCAUUGAGCUUUACUAAAGACUUGCAUGGCUCAAAAUAAUUUGACUUAAAUAAAGAGUUUAGAUAAUGUGGGACCCGUUUCUGGUUAAUGAAACACCACUCUUUUAUUUUAAGAGAGCUAACAUUACAGGGAUAGUGUAAGUUGGAUAGUUUGGUUGGGGCGACCACCUUUUAAAAGGUAACGAAGGUGAGCUUAAGGUCCGUAGUUAAUAGCCGGUGGCCUGACUGCAAGGGGGACGUCUCGAGCAGACACGUCCUUAGGGAUGUGGACUAUAGUGACCCGUCAUCUUAGUGUGGAAUAGUUGACGAUCAA
This 440-nucleotide ribosomal RNA is filed under the name Heteractis doreensis. Its description in RNAcentral is "partial large subunit ribosomal RNA". It matches the Rfam family "Bacterial large subunit ribosomal RNA", at positions 1963 to 2452 of the family's 2925-position model. RNAcentral also lists the same sequence under 2 other names. The record is from RNAcentral. Lineage: Eukaryota; Metazoa; Cnidaria; Anthozoa; Actiniaria; Stichodactylidae.